RNAcentral lists this ribosomal RNA (464 nucleotides) under uncultured bacterium. RNAcentral's name for it is "partial 16S ribosomal RNA". It matches the Rfam family "Bacterial small subunit ribosomal RNA", at positions 28 to 507 of the family's 1533-position model. The record is from RNAcentral.
GACGAACGCUGGCGGCGUGCUUAACACAUGCAAGUCGAACGGAAGGCCCUGCUUGCAGGGUACUCGAGUGGCGAACGGGUGAGUAACACGUGGGGGAUCUGCCCUGCACUUCGGGAUAAGCCUGGGAAACUGGGUCUAAUACCGGAUAGGAGCCAUUUUUAGUGUGAUGGUUGGAAAGUUUUUUCGGUGUAGGAUGAGCUCGCGGCCUAUCAGCUUGUUGGUGGGGUAAUGGCCUACCAAGGCGGCGACGGGUAGCCGGCCUGAGAGGGUGGACGGCCACAUUGGGACUGAGAUACGGCCCAGACUCCUACGGGAGGCAGCAGUGGGGAAGAUUGCACAAUGGGCGCAAGCCUGAUGCAGCGACGCCGCGUGGGGGAUGACGGCCUUCGGGUUGUAAACUCCUUUCGCUAGGGACGAAGCUUUUUGUGACGGUACCUAGAUAAGAAGCACCGGCUAACUACGUG